This 357-nucleotide long non-coding RNA is filed under the name Musa acuminata (dwarf banana). RNAcentral's name for it is "long non-coding RNA (MACU_LNC002616)". The record is from RNAcentral. Lineage: Eukaryota; Viridiplantae; Streptophyta; Magnoliopsida; Zingiberales; Musaceae.
UUUCAUGUUAAUUGACUCUGUAUUCCGUGGUGUCAGUAGGAUUGUCCUUUUGAAUUCGUUAUGUUUAUCUUAAAGUAAACUUCUUUUCUUUUUUUUGGUCUAAUGAUAUUCUGAAUGAUGAAUUAUGUGUGCAGCUCAUGCCUAGGUUUCAGCCUGAGAAUCUCGCUCAAAAUGCACUUAUCUUCAAACGUGUAAGCGAAAUGGCCAAGAGGAAGGGAUGCACCCCUUCACAACUUGCAUUGGCCUGGGUUCACCAUCAAGGAAGUGAUGUGUGCCCUAUACCUGGCACUACCAAGAUCGAAAACUUUAACCAGAAUAUUGGAGCACUGUCAGUAAAACUCACACCCGAGGAGAUGG